Molecule: ribosomal RNA, 231 nt
Filed under: Triticum aestivum (bread wheat)
Lineage: Eukaryota; Viridiplantae; Streptophyta; Magnoliopsida; Poales; Poaceae
Description: partial small subunit ribosomal RNA
Source: RNAcentral
CUGCUUCUACUUUCUGUAUGGAGCUGGGAGCGUCUGCCUGUUGGACGCCCGAAGAGCGUCAGGUUUGAUCCUUGGUAUGCAGAUGAACAUGACGAAUUACGGCGCCCCACGUGGGCUUACAAGUGGGAUAUCGUUUCCGAGAUGACGAACGAUGUCAAUCUCAUGUACCAAAAGUACAUUGCCGAGUUGGACACGAUUACGCCUGAGCAGGUAAGGAGGUCGUUACUUUAG